AAUAAUGGUUUGGGUUAGUUUUAAUUAUUUCCUGAACAAACCCCUUAGUAAACCAAUUAUUUUACCUAACUAUAUAAUUGUCUUAUCAAUACUAUUAAAAGGGGAGGAGUCUUAGAAAAUCUACCUAACAAAGUUGUUUGGACCCUUUUAUUUAACUCAUUAUUUUUUGAUCUUACCUUAAACUUAGACUAACAAUAUGUUACCAUAUAUUUCUCUAACAAUACUUUAUUUAAUUCCUUUAUUUAUUCAAAUACCACUCCUAAUUCUUAAUCAUCACUAAUUUACUAUUAUUAUGUUUACCAUUUUGACUUUUAAUCAUAAAAGCAUUGAAACUAAUGUUUUAUAUUAUCAUUUUUAUCAUAUAAUAUAUAAUUUAAAAUAAGAGAAGUUACACGACAUAUAUGUGUACAUUUUAACUUCCUCUUUUCUUUAUAAUAACGUAAUCAUAUCAUAUAUAAAUUUUCCCAUUAAAAUCUCAUAUUAUAUACUAAAUUUUCAACCGUCUAUAGUUUGAUAGAUAUUUUCAUAUUUAAAAAUGAGUUUUCUAAAAAAUAUUUCAUCAACCAUGUUUUUGUACAAUAACGUUAAAAAACUAUAUCAAAAGGUUGUUGGACCCGAUAUGGACGUAAUGGAUCCACAUCUGUUCGGGUAUUUAGGAUCCUAAAAAGAUUCGAAAUAUCUAAAAAAUCUGAAAAAUAUCCAAAACACGGAAAGUACUUGAAACUCCAAAAAAAAAAACCCAAAAAAUUCAAAUACCUAAAAAUUCAAAAUCUUAUUCAAAAUCUGACACUGAAUUAAAAAUACCCAAAAUUUUAUCCAAAUACACAAAAAAAAAUUUAAUUUGAAAAUUUUACCUGAAAUCAAAAACUAUAAUCGUAAACCAAAAACCUAAAAAAAAUAUUCAUAAUGCCGGAAACAUAUUCAAAAUAUACCAAAUAAACACAACAUAUUUAUGAUCGGGUCUAGGGUAGGAUCCAGACUCAAACAAAGAUAUGCGGGUCCAAAAAAACCCCAAUAGGUUAUCUUCUCUGGACCUGAACUAAACCUAUAUUUCCGUGUCAGUUCGGUUUGUUUUUUUGAUCCGGAUAUAAUUAUCAUGCCUAAAAAAACUUACGUAAAAGUGAACAUAUAAAAUAUCAAAUAAACUAAUUCAUAGAUUAUAUAACUGUUAAAAAUUAUAUUUUUUGAUAUAAUAAGACUUUGUAUUAUAAUAUAAUCCAAAAAACCUGCGCUUUCCAAGCGCGGAUCAAAAUCUAGUUCUUCUUAAACGUGAGCCGCCAGCACUCUUCUCCACAUCACCUUGUUCUUCUUCAUCAUAGUUCAUGAUCUCCAUGUUCUCUUCUCUCCAUUUGGUUCAUCCCGUUUCUCAUCUCCCUCCCCAUCUCUCUUGCUCAUCACUUGUGCCAUUCUCUUCUUCUCCCCCAUGUUCUUCAUGUGUUCGUGUGUUUGAUGACCGACAAGACGUGACGCAUCCACCAUCGCUAGUCACCACCGGAGCCAUGCCCUUCACCAUCAACCACCGCGAGCCAUGCCACUGGAGCCAGCGCCUUUACCGGAGGAGUGGCUAGUGUACUAGAGAUAUGUUGUCACCGUGGAGAAGGGGUGUACGAGCUGGAGCGUUCGCAUCUUGACGCCACCGGCACGCAUCAACACGACCAAUGUGACACCCCGACCCAGCAUAGCUGAAAUAGUCGGUGAUAUCAUGACACAUGUCUCCAGCCACAAGGCCGAAACAAUGUGUUUU
This 1744-nucleotide long non-coding RNA is filed under the name Brassica rapa (field mustard). Its description in RNAcentral is "long non-coding RNA (BRAP_LNC002428)". Lineage: Eukaryota; Viridiplantae; Streptophyta; Magnoliopsida; Brassicales; Brassicaceae. The record is from RNAcentral.